GUAGGUGAACCAGCGGAGGGAUCAUUACCGAGUUUACAACUCCCAAACCCCUGUGAACAUACCUAUACGUUGCCUCGGCGGAUCAGCCCGCGCCCCGUAAAACGGGACGGCCCGCCCGAGGACCCCUAAACUCUGUUUUUAGUGGAACUUCUGAGUAAAACAAACAAAUAAAUCAAAACUUUCAACAACGGAUCUCUUGGUUCUGGCAUCGAUGAAGAACGCAGCAAAAUGCGAUAAGUAAUGUGAAUUGCAGAAUUCAGUGAAUCAUCGAAUCUUUGAACGCACAUUGCGCCCGCCAGUAUUCUGGCGGGCAUGCCUGUUCGAGCGUCAUUUCAACCCUCAAGCUCAGCUUGGUGUUGGGACUCGCGGUAACCCGCGUUCCCCAAAUCGAUUGGCGGUCACGUCGAGCUUCCAUAGCGUAGUAAUCAUACACCUCGUUACUGGUAAUCGUCGCGGCCACGCCGUUAAACCCCAACUUCUGAAUGUUGACCUCGGAUCAGGUAGGAAUACCCGCUGAACUUAAGCAUAUCAAUAAGCGGAGGAAAAGAAACCAACAGGGAUUGCCCUAGUAACUGC
Molecule: ribosomal RNA, 576 nt
Filed under: Fusarium sp. BAB-3867
Lineage: Eukaryota; Fungi; Ascomycota; Sordariomycetes; Hypocreales; Nectriaceae
Description: eukaryotic LSU rRNA
Rfam family: 5.8S ribosomal RNA (bases 177-330)
Source: RNAcentral